This 99-nucleotide signal recognition particle RNA is filed under the name Paramuribaculum sp. Its description in RNAcentral is "signal recognition particle sRNA small type". It matches the Rfam family "Bacteroidales small SRP". Rfam says of the family: The non-coding component of the signal recognition particle in Bacteroides Lineage: Bacteria; Pseudomonadati; Bacteroidota; Bacteroidia; Bacteroidales; Muribaculaceae. The record is from RNAcentral.
GGGUAAGUCCUUCACGGCAUGCUCGCCGCGAACUCCGCCAGAUCUUGAUCGAAGCAACGGUAGUGGCUUGAGCGGCGCGAUGAAGUAAGCUUACCCUUU